AUACGGAGGGGGUUAGCGUUGUUCGGAAUUACUGGGCGUAAAGCGCACGUAGGCGGACUGGAAAGUUGGGGGUGAAAUCCCGGGGCUCAACCCCGGAACUGCCUCCAAAACUUCCAAUCUAGAGAUCGAGAGAGGUGAGUGGAAUUCCAAGUGUAGAGGUGAAAUUCGUAGAGAUUUGGAGGAACACCAGUGGCGAAGGCGGCUCACUGGCUCGAUACUGACGCUGAGGUGCGAAAGCGUGGGGAGCAAACAGAAUUAGAAACCCUAGUAGUCC
RNAcentral lists this ribosomal RNA (274 nucleotides) under uncultured bacterium. RNAcentral describes it as "partial 16S ribosomal RNA". It matches the Rfam family "Bacterial small subunit ribosomal RNA", at positions 523 to 796 of the family's 1533-position model. The record is from RNAcentral.